CAACCCUCAAGCACUGCUUGGUGUUGGGGCACUGCUUCUUACCCAAGGAGCAGGCCCUGAAAUCUAGUGGCGAGCUCGCCAGGACCCCGAGCGCAGUAGUUAAACCCUCGCUCUGGAAGGCCCUGGCGGUGCCCUGCCGUUAAACCCCCAACUUCUGAAA
RNAcentral lists this unclassified non-coding RNA (160 nucleotides) under uncultured Diaporthales. RNAcentral describes it as "sequence contains ITS2". RNAcentral also lists the same sequence under 1 other name. The record is from RNAcentral. Lineage: Eukaryota; Fungi; Ascomycota; Sordariomycetes; Diaporthales.